UUAUUGGAGAGUUUGAUCCUGGCUCAGGACGAACGCUGGCGGCGUGCCUAAUACAUGCAAGUCGAGCGAAUCGAUGGGAGCUUGCUCCCUGAGAUUAGCGGCGGACGGGUGAGUAACACGUGGGUAACCUGCCUGUAAGAUUGGGAUAACUCCGGGAAACCGGAGCUAAUACCGGAUAACAUUUUGAACCGCAUGGUUCGAAAUUGAAAGAUGGCUUCUAGCUAUCACUUACAGAUGGACCCGCGGCGCAUUAGCUAGUUGGUGAGGUAACGGCUCACCAAGGCAACGAUGCGUAGCCGACCUGAGAGGGUGAUCGGCCACACUGGGACUGAGACACGGCCCAGACU
This 347-nucleotide non-coding RNA is filed under the name Metabacillus litoralis. RNAcentral describes it as "Bacillus litoralis Bacterial small subunit ribosomal RNA". It matches the Rfam family "Bacterial small subunit ribosomal RNA", at positions 1 to 337 of the family's 1533-position model. The record is from Rfam by way of RNAcentral. Lineage: Bacteria; Bacillati; Bacillota; Bacilli; Caryophanales; Bacillaceae.